AUUUUAUUAGUGAUGAUAAUGAUCGACGGGCGCACGGAAAUCACAUACGAAGAGAGAAUGCCAGCCGAGACGUUCGUACAAGAGAAUGGAUGGUGCGCAUUGAAAAAAAACCGUUUCGAAGUCGAAGCGUGGAACGAGUGGAUACAUCCGCAUAGCGCAGAACUGGGUCAACUUUUAAGAGCGGAAAGCGUUUUCUUAAAGCCUGUCACCCUCCGUGCACGCACCAUGUGGCGUAAACUUACAGGUGGACGGUGCGGGCAAGAAAUGGCAAUCGUGGUGUAGACAAGACACCGCGGCGGGGGCGUCGAGGGACCAGGGUUGGAUCCUUUUCGCAAUAAAGCUGCCCUGCAGACGAAUACGUACAUCGGAGAUUGUCAGCACAUGUGAUACCGCGACGAAAAUGUGUAUGCACUUAAAUAUGGAUUUUUUGUUCUUACAUCUUUACCUCCCCAAAGAAGAUUACGGUAUUAUUAUUUGUACACUACUCACGUUAAUCCGCAAAAGUUUCACAGAUGUUCGGCGAAUUCAUCAUGAUUCAUGACAAAUUUAACAAUUCAGUUUCAACGAUGUGAUUGCUAAUAUGACACAAUGUUUAGACUUAAAUACGUUUCAAUAAAAUAGUCAAUAAUAAUAUGCUGGGUCACCGGGAUAUGGAAUACGCUUCUUGAAUACAUACGGCACUUAUAAUAAGUAUCGAUCGGUCAUAUUUAUGGAAAUCAGCAAAAAUCGUUUCACUUCCAUUUGUGUAUGUAUUAUUGAUAUUUCAUAUUUAGCAUACAUAUCAAGAUAAAUAGUGAAUACUGCCAGUAGAAUUGGAUACAGAGAAAAACAUCAAUCCUUAUCGGUAUUUUUGCAAUGGACCUUUUCUUCUUGUGUACUUGAAAUUUGAAUUUCCAUAAUUCAUGUAU
Long non-coding RNA from Sipha flava (yellow sugarcane aphid), 908 nucleotides. RefSeq lists it as uncharacterized. NCBI's taxonomy places the organism in Eukaryota, Metazoa, Arthropoda, Insecta, Hemiptera, Aphididae. The record is from RefSeq and is a predicted model, not a curated record. The transcript is spliced from 3 exons.